GACCCCGGUGGCCCCCACCCCAAAAUUUUGGGGUGGGGGGAUGGUCUGUUAAUAGCCUUUAAAAGAGGCACGGGAGAAGACCCCUAGGGGGGCGCCCGGGCACCGCAGGGACCCCACCACCCCUAUGGAGCUGUGCUGACCCUACAGGCACCCCUAAACCCCAUUGGGGCACUAUAGGGACCCCUAAACCCCAUUGGGACCCUAUGGAGCUGUGCUGACCCUAUAGGCACCCCUAAACCCUACUGGGGCCCUAUGGACCUGUGGUGACCCUAUAGGCACCCCUAAACCCCUUUGGGACCCUAUGGAGCUGUGGUGACCCUAUAGGCUCCCCUAAACCCCAUUAGGGCCCUAUAGGCUCCCCUAAACCCCACUGGGGCCCUAUGGAGCUGUGGUGACCCUGGAGGCCCUAUAGAGGCCCUAUGGAGCCCUAAGGAAGCCCUAUAGAGGUUCUCCUGCCCCCGGAGGCCCUAUAGAUGCCCUAUAGAGGCCCUGUGGAGUCCUAUGGAGGCCCUAUAGAGCCCUAUGGAGGUCCUCCUGCCCUAUGGAGAACCUAUGGAGGCCCUAUAGAGCCCUUAGGAUGCCCUAUAGAGGUUCUCCUGCCCCUGGAGGCCCUAUAGAUGCCCUAUAGAGGCCCUGUGGAGUCCUAUGGAGGCCCUAUAGAGCCCUAUGGAGGUCCUCCUGCCCUAUGGAGAACCUAUGGAGGCCCUAUAGAGCCCUUAGGAUGCCCUAUAGAGGUUCUCCUGCCCCUGGAGGCCCUGUGGAGGCCCUAUAGAGGCCCUAUGGAGGCCCUAUGGAGCCCUAUGGAGGUUCUCCUGCCCUACGGAGGCCCAAUAAAGCCCUAUAAAGCCCUAUAG
Molecule: long non-coding RNA, 854 nt
Filed under: Anas platyrhynchos platyrhynchos (common mallard)
Lineage: Eukaryota; Metazoa; Chordata; Aves; Anseriformes; Anatidae
Description: lncRNA (ENSAPLG00000016981.1)
Source: RNAcentral